CUUGGCGGCUUUAUCAUUUCUCCGACUGGGGACCUAUUGGUAAACCUUGGGGGGUUUUUGGAUUUCCUUCCGGGUGGGGACUGCUGUGCGGGGGAGAAGUCGGCUUUCCCUUGAACCCUUUUUCAGGGCUAUGUCACACAACCUCUGGAAUGUGUUUAGAAUGUCCUAUAAAAGUUAUAAAAUACGGCUUUCACCAACGGAUCUCUUGGCUCUCGCAUCGAUGAAGAACGCAGCGAAAUGCGAUAGGUAGGGUGAAUUGCAGAAUUCAGUGAAUCAUCGAAUCUUUGAACGCAUCUGGCGCUCCUUGGUAUUCCGAGAAGCAUGCCUGUUUGAGUGUCAUUUAAACUCUCAAAGCACAUCAUUCGGUUGACAUGUCUUUGGAGGGGGGGGGGUGCCGGGCUCUUCUUCUCACCUCCCCUGAAAUGCAUUAUUGGUAUCUGGAGCGGAAAACCGCGAGGUGUGAUAAAUACUGUCUAUGCCUUUGUUUAUGCGCCGUGUGCUGCUUCCCAACGCACCAUUUAUUUGACAAGGUUGACCUCAAAUCACGUAUGACUACCCGCUGAAC
RNAcentral lists this ribosomal RNA (565 nucleotides) under Inocybe sp. 5 DL-2015. Its description in RNAcentral is "eukaryotic LSU rRNA". The stretch from base 186 to 339 matches the Rfam family "5.8S ribosomal RNA". Lineage: Eukaryota; Fungi; Basidiomycota; Agaricomycetes; Agaricales; Inocybaceae. The record is from RNAcentral.